Meleagris gallopavo (turkey) is the source of this 3934-nucleotide non-coding RNA. The record is from RefSeq and is a predicted model, not a curated record. Lineage: Eukaryota; Metazoa; Chordata; Aves; Galliformes; Phasianidae.
AACACAAAGAGAAACAUUUUUCCUACCUGCUGUUAAUUUACAAAUGCUGCAUCUUCUCUCUUGGAUGAUCUGCUUGAGAAUAACAAAAACUACAGCUCUGCUUUCUGUGGGCAACCUGACGAUACCAAUGCAGUUCAUGGGCAUGAGCUCCAAAGACGUGUUCCUGCUUCAAGACAUCAGCUUUGGUGGAAGUGCUGCCUGAGCAGAUGCAACAUGGUAAAGCAGUAACAGCGAUCUAUACUAAUGUUUUCUAAACAAUUUCAUGCUGUUGGAAAAUUACGUUUCACUUUUGUGUUUGUUCUGCUAAAUGAAGCAGAUGCAUUUCACAGUGACAGAACAAGUUUCAGCAGUCAUUUCAGUAUGAGAAAAUGUUACCAUUUCCUGAUUUUUUUUUAUUUAUGUUUUUCAGUAGUGAUAAUAUGUAAAAUAUUAUCUUUUAAUUAUGAUUGAUUUUGUUUAUGUCCUACAACAAUAGUAAUGCAUAAGAUAAUGUUUUCUUACAUUCAGCAAAGGCAUACUUUCUUUCUUUAUAAAUACUGUUCAGUGCUGGCAUAAGUGCAUAGCUAGCGGUGGUGGUUCUGCUGAGAAAGAGUGUUUCGUAGCUGAGAAUUUGCUCUAUCAAAUAGUGUUCUUGUGCUCUUUGUAUCUGUUGUAGUUUCCAUAGAAAUAAAGAGGAGGCAUUACUUUUAGAGUAAACUUUCUAUUUAUUGCUCAAAGUGAAAACACGUGGAAACAGUUUAAUUGGUCAAACCAGCUGAAGUUUUGACCUCCAGUGAACAACUAAAAGCAUGCACCAAAUUUUACCUGAAUUGGAAUGCAGAAGUACUUACUAUUGAAUUGUUUUGUUUUGCUUUACUUUAUGAUCUCUAUUAGUUUUAUGUUAUAUUGUUUUCUUGUUGUCCAAAAUAUAUUUGGAUCUUGGCUAAGAUUGAGUUUGUCUCUAUUGCUUUUGGCAGCUGCUUGAAUAUAUAUGUACAGAUAUUUCUAAUUUGAAGAAACAGGAUAAAAAAAAACUUACAGGUUUAUUAGUUUUCUGUGAGUAUAGUAUUUUUGGCAGGUGGUUGUUGUGUGGUUUGUUGUUGUGUUGUUUUUUCUUUAUUUUAAUUCCUCUAUUGUGCAUUCUCAUUCUGUUUUGCAGGCUGCUUCCUUGUUUUCAAGGAAGUUUUAUUCUUUUAUUCAAUGUAUUUUAUGUUAUUGCUGGUGAUUCUCAGUGUACAUCUGAACAUCUUACUGGGCAGCAUGAGAUCAGUUUUUACAUAGUUCAGUCAUAUUAGAUGACUGACGUACCCUCCUUGGUGUGUCAGCAGUAGCAGUGUUUCUCUUGAUAUCUGAUCUUUCUUAAAAGAAAAACCUCACUGAGAUAUGAGACAAUACACAAUUUUCAUUGUUUUAUGUAAGCACCAGCAUCGCUUAUGUAAAUAGCUAGCUUUUACUUUACCAUUAGUAGAACAAAUCUCUAAGGCCUAACAGAAGAAGAGUGUCACGUUGACAAGUAAUUAAGAAUUUCAGUGUGAUUUAACUUGACAGAAAAAAAUACUGAUUGUUUCUUAGAGCCACCUGUCUUAUUUAAGAGAAUCAUUAUCCAUAAAAUGAUUUUAAUGAUUCUUCUCAGUCUUAAAAGAAAAUGUUCCAUGCUUAUAUCUACAGUAUGAAAAGAGGAGAUGGUUAAGAGAUGGUUGGGGGUUCUCUCUGAGAUUUGCAGGGGCUUAUUAGGAUUUCUAACACCUCUCUCAGUAUGGAAAAAUGUUUUAUAAUGGACAUCUCUCAGCAGGAUGUUGGGAGCUCUGCAGAGGUAAUUGCUGUUCAGCAGUCUGCAAUGAGUAUAUGUAAGGGUGUAAUCAUACCUGCAAUAUUCACAAGAGUGAAUGGACCUGGGAAAAUGAAGGCAUUUAUCUCACCUGCCAAAAAAGCCUUUGUGUUUAUCAUCACACAGAAGUUACUCAGAGGUUUUGUUUUUACUUUCUCCUUGUAGGAGUGAAAGCAAUAAUUCCCCAUUCCGUCCCAUCUUUGGUUAACUGAUGCAAUUAUAUUUUGGAAUAAGGUAAAUGUUAUAUAAUGACUGUAAACAUGUAUCAGUCUUCUUGCUUUCAUUCCACAUGCCAUUCCAGUCUAUUUUCCAUUACCUUUAUCUCAUUUUCACUUUUUUUUAACCUUUCCACAAUCCCUCCAUCUCUGCCCUGCCUAUCCGCUUUAUUUUUUCACUUAUCCUUUGUCUAUAGUACCAUCCACUCAAUUCUUAUCUUUUUAUUUGUCCUUAAAAAUUCUUUCUGUCUUUUUCAAGACUCCUUUCUGACUUCUGUCCACCUUUCCUUUACACAGAAUCUCCUUUCUUUCCAUGGAGCUCUCCUAGAAUCCCCUGUUGCUGUCCUUGAAACUCAGAAGGAAAGCCUAAGCAUUAUUCUUUGAAGUGAAGUAGUCCUGUGGCAGUGUGAAUCAAUCUGUGAAGCCAAACAUUUUAUGUAACCAAUCAUCCAGCAGGGACUCAGUGCAUACAGUUGUCAUUUGUGUAUCUUUUUGUCUGCUAGCUUUCCCAGUUGCUUCACUCCCAGCUUCUUUCCACUGGAUAAGCAAGAAGAGAGGAAAGGCUGCUAUGAUAUUUCUGCUGCUUUUGUGCAUGUAAAUCCACAGCAGUCAGGAAAGAGCUGCUCUUGUGCAAAGCAGGAGAAGCUGUAUGUUUCUUCAUGACAAGCACUGGAAAAUUAUGAUGAAGAAGAGGGGACAGGGACAAGAAUAAAGGACAGCAUUUACUUCUUACUGGGACUAUGCUCAUCACCCUCUUUAUUCAGCUGUUAACCUUUACUUCUAGCUUUACUAGAUCAACGCAUAAAAACAGCCAUUCCAGAAUCUGAAAUCUCCAGACUGCAAAUAUUUUCUGUUGCCCAUGAGUUUUUUUAAAGAAAUUUUCUUUCAGCUCUGCCAACUUGACAAGCAGCUGCCACAUUUUCUUGAUGUACCUCAAUCUCAUGUGCGAGGAAAAAGCAACACUGAAUGGAAAUGGCAAUUAAAAAAAAAAAAAUGUUGUACUGUGGACUUGUGAUUCCUUUAUAAGCAAAUGGUUGUGGAAAAUUAAUAUACUGAGAAGGAAAAACAGAAAGUAUCUUACACCACUGAACAGUGGUUUGUAGAUAUAUCUUCUGGUGAGUAAUCCUAUGCCUCGUUUUCCUGUUGUAAUUUAGAAAAAGUGUUCCAAUAGUAAAUAAUCUUGAUUGCAAGAAGUCACUUUCUUCCUCAGCUAGUGUUGCAGCCUCCUAUACUUCCAUGCAAGCUUCACAUUCCUUUGCUGGAAAUCAACCAUUGCAAAACAUACCAGCUCUCGUAAUUCAGUACUAAAUAUAUAUAUAUAUGUACACAUAUAAGUAAAAACCUUUUUAUUUAUACCAAAAAUACUCAAAAUAGAGCUAUUUGUUUUCCUAGAAAACACUUCAGUUUCAAGCCUCAAAAGUAGAGGUAUAUACCACAGUUAGACAUAUUCUGCAUUAGGUCAUAUCCAUAUAGAUCCAGUAGUGGUUUGGGUGUUCAUUAAAAUCAGAUAAUUUUCAUAAAAAUGUGAAAAAUCUCAACAAGAUCCUUCUGAAUCUAAUAAUUUAAAAUGUCACCUAAGCUUUUCAUUAAGAUCAAGUCUUUCAAUAUCUCAAAAAAUGAUCCUUGUUCCUGUAGUGAUAAUUAGUUGAAUGACAUAAUUAAAAAAAAAAAGAUAAUUCCAACAGAACUCCAUUUACUGUAUCUCUGAUCCCAUUUGCUUACAACUGUGCACCAUUAAAUUUUUCAGCGGGCAAGUGAUGCAUUUUACACGGUAGCUCUUAAGAUGAUGUCAUUCAGACAUCUUCUCAGGCCUAAAACUUAGUUUUGUAAAUCUGUACCUCUUUCAGCAAGCAAAAAACAUAUCCAUACUGUGUCACACUCAUAUCUUGCUUCACAGAUAGCAAAGAGGAAA